RNAcentral lists this long non-coding RNA (200 nucleotides) under Capsella rubella. Its description in RNAcentral is "long non-coding RNA (CRUB_LNC001812)". The record is from RNAcentral. Lineage: Eukaryota; Viridiplantae; Streptophyta; Magnoliopsida; Brassicales; Brassicaceae.
UUUUUGCUUAAAUAAACAUAUAAAACUAGACCACAUGAUGGACAAAAAACUUAACAAAAAAAAAAACUAAAAUAUUAUAUAAUGAAUUAUAUUUUAAAUUUUAAUCAAACGAAUUAAUAGGAAGACUAUGCAUAAAUAUUAGUAUUUUUCACCUAAUACACAUACAGUAUAUAGUGUUUUGGAUAACAAUUAUAAUAGAG